RNAcentral lists this ribosomal RNA (500 nucleotides) under uncultured Glomeromycotina. Its description in RNAcentral is "partial small subunit ribosomal RNA". It matches the Rfam family "Eukaryotic small subunit ribosomal RNA", at positions 591 to 1092 of the family's 1831-position model. Lineage: Eukaryota; Fungi; Glomeromycota. The record is from RNAcentral.
CCAAUAGCGUAUAUUAAAGUUGCUGCAGUUAAAGAGCUCGUAGUUGAAUUUCGGGGUCAAUAUGUUGGUCGUGCCUUGGUACGUACUAGCUUAUUGAUUUCUCCUUUCUGACGAACCAUGAUGUCAUUAAUUUGGUGUCAUGGGGAAUCAGGACUGUUACUUUGAAAAAAUUAGAGUGUUUAAAGCAGGCUCGCCCUUGAAUACACAUUAGCAUGGAAUAAUGAAAUAGGACAUUUGAUUCUAUUUUGUUGGUUUCUAGGAUCGAUGUAAUGAUUAAUAGGGAUAGUUGGGGGCAUUAGUAUUCAAUUGUCAGAGGUGAAAUUCUUGGAUUUAUUGAAGACUAACUACUGCGAAAGCAUUUGCCAAGGAUGUUUUCAUUAAUCAAGAACGAAAGUUAGGGGAUCGAAGACGAUCAGAUACCGUCGUAGUCUUAACCAUAAACUAUGCCGACUAGGGAUCGGAUGAUGUUAAUUUUUUAAUGACUCAUUCGGCGCCUUACG